AAUUUUGGACAAUGGGGGAAACCCUGAUCAAGCCAACCCGCGUGUAUGAUGAAGGCCUUCGGGUAGUAAAGUACUUUUGACAGACAAGAAAUGUUAUCUCCUAAUACGACUAAUUGCUGAAGGUAUCUGCAGAAUAAGCACCGGAUAACUACGUGCCAGCAGCCGCGGUAAUACGUAGGGCGCAAGCGUUAAUCGGAAUUACUGGGCGUAAAGCGUGUGUAGGCGGUUCGGAAAGAAAGAUGUGAAAUCCCAGGGCUCAACCUUGGAACUGCAUUUUUAACUGCCGAGCUAGAGUAUGUCAGAGGGGGGUAGAAUUCCACGUGUAGCAGUGAAAUGCGUAGAUAUGUGGAGGAAUACCGAUGGCGAAGGCAGCCCCCUGGGAUAAUACUGACGCUCAGACACGAAAGCGUGGGGAGCAAACA
This 422-nucleotide ribosomal RNA is filed under the name uncultured bacterium. RNAcentral's name for it is "partial 16S ribosomal RNA". It matches the Rfam family "Bacterial small subunit ribosomal RNA", at positions 360 to 774 of the family's 1533-position model. The record is from RNAcentral.